Solanum tuberosum (potato) is the source of this 1869-nucleotide long non-coding RNA. RefSeq lists it as uncharacterized. NCBI's taxonomy places the organism in Eukaryota, Viridiplantae, Streptophyta, Magnoliopsida, Solanales, Solanaceae. The record is from RefSeq and is a predicted model, not a curated record. The transcript has 3 exons.
AACUCCUACCAACUAAGAAAUAUCAAAAAAAAAAAUUAGGAAAGUGGAAGUUGAAGAGUACUUGCAGGUGCAGCGCCUCUUCCUCGAUACAUAAUCAAAUCGGAGCUGAAACUCUACUUCAAUUCGGCGUAAUUGUAUACCCUUGAAACCCUUUGUUUUCUCCUCGUAGAUUUCAUGUGGAUCCAAGCUCGUGUAGAUUAUGUGGAAAGAGGGUAAUCCAUCCAUUUAACCUCAGGUUGUGUAUGGAUUUUUGGGAUUUACACUAUUGUACAGGUUGUGCAAAGUAUUCUGGACUUGAAAAAAUUGUCAGGUACACAAUUGAACCCAACCAAUUAUUCUCUUCUCUUUUGGACUGAUUGUUCGAAAUAACCAAUUUCGAAGUUAUUCUGCUAUGUGUAUUGUGAAAUAAUAAACCUACUAUAGAUGUUAAUUGACUGCUACAAUCUAUGAGUCUUGAUUUUAUACCAUAUGAAACACCCUAAACUCUCACCAGGUGCAUGGUAUGUCAACCAACUGAAAUUCAUUCAGACAUCAUAUAAUGUGUAGUAGCUUUUAUCAUCUAAUAUAGCUUUAUCAGUAUCAUAUGUAAAGUAUAUUCUAAUCAAACCAUUUAUACUCUUGUAGUGUUUGACUGCCUUAUCCUCAAUUGUGGUGUGCUUUGUUUAUCUAAGAUGAUAAUUCUCUUGGCUGUAUCCGGAACCUCUUGGAGAGAUCUUAAUUCAUAUGUACCUGCAAAAAGAAAAACCAAGUUAGCAAAAAAAUCAGCAAGAGUAUUUCCCUCCCUUAAGGAGUGUUGUACUCUUACUGACAUGGAAUUCCUCAAUCUAUUGAUGGAAUUGACCUCCAUUGUCACAUUCCAAGGUAUUUCCCACUCUCCCUUCAGCAUAUGUACCAAAGCCAACUAGUCAGUUUCAAUUAUAAUGUUUGGAAAGUUGUUUUCCAAACAACAUUGAAGACUUUCUCUAAUAGUAAUAGCUUCAGCCACUAGAUUAGUAGAAUCAGGGAUCCUCACCCCCUUAGCAAUCACCAGCUCUCCUUCGUGAUUUAUGAUACAAAAGGCAACAACACUAGGCCUAGGAUUACCUCUAUAAGCCCCAUCUGUAUUACAUUUCAACCACCCAGAUGGUGGAGGAUGCCAUUUAACCCAUUUAUAGACAAACCUAGGUCUGAAAGCAUCCAAUAGAGCAACCAUCUGUGGCCAAGUGGAGGGGACAUUAGUAUAUUGAAACUUUAACUUCAUAAAUUUCUGAACAGUACUAUUGAUGUCCCAAAUCACUUUACUUGUGGUGUAAUUACCACCAUGAAGCACAAUAUUUCUCCUUUUCCAUAAGAACCAUAAGAUUAUAUUAGGAAUAGCUUGAAACAUCACCUUUUGCCUAGUAUUUCCUUGAACAUCCCACCAUCUUUUAAUAGAUUGCUUCAACUAAAUCCAAGGCCCUAAUAUUCCAGCUGCAGAUGAGAAAUAUUGCCACACUUUGUUGGCAAUUUCACCUUUCAAAAAUAAGUGUUCCAUAGUUUCUCUUACUGGAACAGUACAACAUAAACAAAGUUGAGACUGAUUAGGAUUCCAAUUAGCUAUAACAGCAGCUGCUGGAGCUCUAUUAGUCCAAAUCCUCCAACUAAAGAAAGAUAUCUUAAAAGGAAGAUCUUGCACCCAUAUCAUCUUACAAUUUUCAUUUACUUCCUUUUUUCCCCUCAAAAUCUCCCAUGCACUCUUAACUGAGAACUUUUCAAUGCUUGUCUUGAUCCACCACGGUUUGUCUCCCAUAUCAGUCUGUCUAAUAUGAUCCAUAUGCUGCCUAAUAUGUUCCACAACAUGAUAAGGCAGAUGAUCAUACAUACUAUCAUAAUCCCACCCUACUUCCUUCA